Long non-coding RNA from Thunnus maccoyii (southern bluefin tuna), 2100 nucleotides. RefSeq lists it as uncharacterized. The record is from RefSeq and is a predicted model, not a curated record. The transcript is spliced from 2 exons. Lineage: Eukaryota; Metazoa; Chordata; Actinopteri; Scombriformes; Scombridae.
UAUGCCAAAUAUAAAAUCAGGCACAUACUGGAUCAGUAAAUGAAUGUUGUAUAAAUGUUUCUCCAUAUUUUGUGUGAAGCCAGAUAGUAUGGAACACAUAGGGAGAAGAGAACAGAGUUUAUGAUAAUAACAUUUCAGCAAGUAUGGAUGACCUUCAUAAUAAACUCAAUUAGCAACAUCAACAUUAACGAUUAAAUAAUGCUGAGAGAUCUGCAGAAAUGUACUAACAGUGAAGAGUGUGAGAAAGAACAUGGUGGCAUUUGUUUGUUUUCACUCUGGGUUUAACCUCAGGUUUGUUACUUCAGGUUUAAACCUUUAUUAACCACAGUUAAACAAACAGACACAGAGCAACAGCUGUUUUAUCUGAACUUUAGGAGAGAUUCCUGUGGUAGAUGUUGACAAAGCUGGCAGGAACCACAGAGAUAAUGUCAAUAAUGUCAUAAAAAACAAUCAUGAUGACCUGGCAUUUUGUUGACUUUCAUGAAACUGCAUAUGUUGUUGUGUAUAAACCUUGGUGAUUAACACUUAAACAGAGAGCUGUGUCUCCUUCAGAGGCUGCUGCUGUCAAAGUCACACAGAAGACACAUAACGAUGCAGUCAGGAUGCUAACCGGCUAGCGAGUUAGCUGACAAACUGUACAAGACAUUUCACUGUUGCUGUUUUCCACUCAGGAGUUUUGUUGCUACCACAAAAGUAGAAAGCCCCUCUUUCUUUUUGUAUCCUCGUAAAUUUCUUUCUCUGGCAUUUUUUUGAGUACCGGUGUUACACCGUAUUUAGUGCCACAUCAGAUUCACUGUUGGAAGCAAUCUGCAUGCUGGCAGGGAAUGAAAGAGCUCCCUGGUUCAUCCCCGACGCUCCCCAGCCGCCGUCCGGCCGACUCUCUCCAUGGGCCUCCGUCUCCAGCCCUCCCCGGUGGGCUAAGACCUGCUCAAGGUCCCUUCUGUGAUGUGGGCUGCCCAAUAAAAGCCAACGCUAGCUGGAUUCCCAGGCCCAGUUUCCCCCUGAGUCUUUAUCUUUCACAGCGUUGGCUGAGGAUGAGGGCUGCCAGAGAAUUAGGUUUCACUCUGCUCACACAGACUGUCUCGCUCUUUGCCUCCGCUUGGCUGUGGCGAAACCAUGGGUAGAAGGAGCUGAAGCAGCGAGAGGAGUGUGUAUGUGUCUGUAGCUGGGUUUCCAUCCCAGCAGUUUCCAUUGUAAUCAGGAGAGGAAAGAACAGUUUCACAAUAUCUUAAAAUAGUUUUUAAAGGAUAAGUUCAGAUUUUUCCAAGUCUAUCUUAAAACAAUACUCGCUCACAUAAGCUAUUGGCUGCUGUAGUCAUUCUUUCUGUUUAUAAUGGGCAUUAAAUGAUGUGCUCCUAGUGUGACUCCAGUUUAAGUGAUGGUUGACAAAAUCCACAGUCCUCGUUUUGUGUAAAAAUACAACCAAAGUUUAGCCGGAACUAAUAUGAGGCUUCAGCUGUCUGAGUUAAACAAAUAAAGAGGGGAUCUUCCAAAGUAACAGUCUUUUUAUUGUUGAAUUCUCUCUUUGUGUUCAGUGUAGUCAUGCUCGGGCACGACUGCUUCAUAGCCACUAUAGGGAGGAGCGACCAAUAACUCCAGCACAUAUGGCAUAUGAAUAUUGUAUAAAAUAGACUUGAAGUAUCUGAACCUAUCCUUUAACGUUUUAUCAGCUUAAUGUCGGAAAAUAGUGAUGAAAAAAAUGCUUUCUGUAGCAUGGCAACCCUAUUAUCAGACUGACUGUAGAUAUUGGAUGCAAAACAGCAAAAAGUUUAUGUGCGAUGGCAAAGUUUUUUAACAUUUCAUGCCACCAUUUUUAAAAUCUUUCUUUCUACCAUAUGCAUGCAGGGUAGAGAUCAUCAUGCAUCUACUGAGCUCUAAGGAACCAAGACUCAACCUGAGAUUUGAGUUGCAACAAGUCCAAAUUAUACUCAGGACGAAUAGGGUGGAUAGGACCUCAUUUUACUGCUACAGGUCUAGGGUCUGUUUGUCAGUGUGGAUUAGAGUAUAGUGAGAGUAGGUGAAAACAAGACUUUCAAGUUCUUGGAUUGAAGGAAAUAUGAUGCUGAAUUAUAAAUAAAAAGCUACACAGUAGGUAUCUGA